UUGGAGGGCAAGUCUGGUGCCAGCAGCCGCGGUAAUUCCAGCUCCAAUAGCGUAUAUUAAAGUUGUUGCAGUUAAAAAGCUCGUAGUUGAAUUUCGGGAUCAAUACGUCGGUCGUGCUUUCGGGUACGUACUGGCGUCAUUGGUUUCUCCUUUCUGACGAACCAUGAUGUCAUUAAUUUGGUGUUAUGGGGAGUUAGGACUGUUACUUUGAAAAAAUUAGAGUGUUUAAAGCAGGCAUUAGCUUGAAUACAUUAGCAUGGAAUAAUGAAAUAGGACGUUCAAUCCUAUUUUGUUGGUUUCUAGGAUCAACGUAAUGAUUAAUAGGGAUAGUUGGGGGCAUUAGUAUUCAAUUGUCAGAGGUGAAAUUCUUGGAUUUAUUGAAGACUAACUACUGCGAAAGCAUUUGCCAAGGAUGUUUUCAUUAAUCAAGAGCGAAAGUUAGGGGAUCGAAGACGAUCAGAUACCGUCGUAGUCUUAACCAUAAACUAUGCCGACUAGGGAUCGGAUGAUGUUAAUUUUUUAAUGACUCAUUCGGCGCCUUACGGGAAAC
Molecule: ribosomal RNA, 550 nt
Filed under: uncultured Glomeromycotina
Lineage: Eukaryota; Fungi; Glomeromycota
Description: SSU rRNA
Rfam family: Eukaryotic small subunit ribosomal RNA
Source: RNAcentral